UGCCCCCUUCUGCAUCUUGGCAUGGAUCACCUCGAGACAACUGAAAACCCCCUUUGCAGUAGCCUCACUGCUCUGACCUCCGCUCUCCUACAGCAGCUCUAAGUGUGGGAGCCAAGAAAACAGCAUUAACUGAACAACCUCAAGACAGCAGAAGUUGCCAGGUUGAGAAACCCUCUGAUGCUGGGAAAUAAAGCAAGCGUCUCUCCACACUUCAAGGCUGUGACCUGUGCUGGCUUUCAACCAUGGAAACCCACACAGCCCUGUGGCUGAGGGAGGACCAUGGCUGCCUGCUACCAGAGAGCAUGAUAACUCCAGCAUUGCGUUGCCCUCUGAAUACCCUAUUGCCUGGGACCUCAGCAGCCCGCUGAACCACAUUUAGGCCUGAUGCAAGCAGACACACAUCCUUCCGAGCAGAUUUUGUGCAAUUUUCGAGGAAUCCUUCAAGGACUCAUCAGCUCAAGUAAUUCUCUCUGCCCCAACACUAUGGGGAAGGGAAGCGAUUAUGGGAAAGCUCAUGUUCCUCCAGCAGCUGCAGUCGCAUUGGGUGGGAUUCAUCUGACUAAACAUAGAUGUCUCCAUCUGAGCUAGUCACGCUAGGCUUCCUUUAUGGAGGAGAAUAUGGGGAAAUAUAGGCACAGCUAUGAGUCAUCCCCUCCCCAGGUCAGUGUCUAAACCAGGUCAGGCAAAUCUUGCCCAUUUCUCUUCUUUUCUUGUAAAAGGAGGUGCAAUGAAUAGGUCUGUAAAGUUAUGUGGUGCCCAUCCUCUAUCUGGUGUCCAAACCAGAUGAUUUGAGCUGGGGCAGAAGGGCCAAGCUGUGGUGAGGGCAUUGCCAGAAAAUGCUGAGUAACCACAGCCCAGUGGGGUAAAUUGGCUCAGAUGGAGCUCAUUUCACUGUGGGAUAGGAGGCAAGGAGUGCAAUGCGGGAGAGGAAAUGGCCUAAGAAGAAUGCCCAUAAAAGUCACUGUGGGAUGUCACCCUAGUGCCAAGACUAUGUUUGUUUUGAAUCAGAGCAGGUAGCUCUGCUUUUCUGUUUGCCGGCUAGAGUUACUGCCUUCCUGACACCACUGCAAUUCACUACGUGACCAGUUACUUCCCCACUCCUGGCCUCUCCUUGCUUUCCACCUCUCCAGACUGCAAUACAGUGGUCCCAUCUUCACAUCCCUGCGGAGCAGCAGGGUGCUGCUGAGUGCUCACACCCCCAGGCAGGCCUGGAUCAAAGGAUGUUCACCACUGAUAGUGGAGCUCCAGUCCAGUGCACUUCCAAGUGCCACAGACACUUGGGCAUCUUCCAGCAGGAUGUUGGCUGUCUGCACCCUGUGCUGUGGCUCCUUGAUGCCCAGCUCUGCCUAUGUCCUCUCCCCAGCUGCCUGGCCUAGAGCUGAACUGGGUGUUGAAACAGAGGAGCGUUUCCCAUGCUAUGUGUACGUCAGGGAUGCGUGGGGAAAGGAAGUGCAGCAAUUGCCAGAAGCAGCAGUGAAGUUACUGUAUGGUGUUAUCAUCUGAUGAGAAAAGUAAUGAAGCAAAAAUGCCUUGAGCGUGCCGUGAGCCAGCUCCUCUGUCAAGGGAUUACUGCUGAGGACCCUCAAGACCUUAUGUGCACCCAUGACUGUAACCCAUGAGUAAGAGCGUAAAGCAUGCACGCAAGGUAAAUAAAUGGUUAGAGAGA
Long non-coding RNA from Pezoporus flaviventris, 1666 nucleotides. RefSeq lists it as uncharacterized. The record is from RefSeq and is a predicted model, not a curated record. The transcript is spliced from 3 exons. Lineage: Eukaryota; Metazoa; Chordata; Aves; Psittaciformes; Psittacidae.